Molecule: ribosomal RNA, 497 nt
Filed under: uncultured bacterium
Lineage: Bacteria
Description: partial 16S ribosomal RNA
Rfam family: Bacterial small subunit ribosomal RNA
Source: RNAcentral
GAUGAACGCUGGCGGCGUGCCUAAUACAUGCAAGUCGAGCGAACAGACGAGGAGCUUGCUCCUCUGACGUUAGCGGCGGACGGGUGAGUAACACGUGGAUAACCUACCUAUAAGACUGGGAUAACUUCGGGAAACCGGAGCUAAUACCGGAUAAUAUAUUGAACCGCAUGGUUCAAUAGUGAAAGACGGUUUUGCUGUCACUUAUAGAUGGAUCCGCGCCGCAUUAGCUAGUUGGUAAGGUAACGGCUUACCAAGGCAACGAUGCGUAGCCGACCUGAGAGGGUGAUCGGCCACACUGGAACUGAGACACGGUCCAGACUCCUACGGGAGGCAGCAGUAGGGAAUCUUCCGCAAAGGGCGAAAGCCUGACGGAGCAACGCCGCGUGAGUGAUGAAGGUCUUCGGAUCGUAAAACUCUGUUAUAGGGGAAGAACAAAUGUGUAAGUAACUAUGCACGUCUUGACGGUACCUAAUCAGAAAGCCACGGCUAACUACGUG